RNAcentral lists this long non-coding RNA (606 nucleotides) under Phoenix dactylifera (date palm). Its description in RNAcentral is "long non-coding RNA (PDAC_LNC014305)". Lineage: Eukaryota; Viridiplantae; Streptophyta; Magnoliopsida; Arecales; Arecaceae. The record is from RNAcentral.
UCCUCUCUUUCUUUCAACUCUUUCUUUUCUUCCUUUGCUUGCGGCUGAACCAAGGAAAGGGGAGGAGAGGGGGGCCACGAAUUGGAGAGGGAGAGGGCUUCAAUGAUGCCCUAGGUCAACCCCCACGCCUCCUCUUAAAUAGCAUGUGGAGCUCCUACCCCACGCCUCCUCUUAAAUAGCAUGUGGAGCUCCUACUUUGUAGGAGCUCCUUGAUUAAAUUCCAAGAGGGGCAUCGGCCCCUCUUCUUUGCCGCACCAAGCAAGGAAAAGGAGGAGGGGCGUGUGCCCCUCCUUCAUGGUUAACCUAAUCCUCCUCUAAGGAGGAUUAGGAAGGUCACACUUGGUUAGGUCCUAAUCUAAUUAGAUUUGGACCAAGGGUGAACCAAUUUGGGUUUUAAUCUAGGUAAGUCCUAAUCCAAUUAGAACUUGAUGAGCCAUGACUCAAUUGAACCCUUCAAUCCUAAUCUAAUUAGGAGUCAUCUUGAUUCAUUAGAUUAAUAAUUAAUUGGAACUUAAGAAGUCCUAAUCCCAUUAGGAUUUAUUUAAUUCUAGUCCUAAUCCAAUUAGGACUCUAAUUUGAAUUCGAAGUCCUAAUUCGAUUAGGACU